Non-coding RNA from Vicia faba (fava bean), 255 nucleotides. Lineage: Eukaryota; Viridiplantae; Streptophyta; Magnoliopsida; Fabales; Fabaceae. The record is from the annotation of a GenBank genome assembly.
CAUCAUCUUUACCCAACUUCUCUUCACUCUUCAACUUCUAACCACAACAAUACCGCACCUUUUCUAAUGGCAACACUCUCACACCCAUUCACACACUUCUUCAUCAUUCGUAGAACCACUUCAACUCACCCCAAUUCCUUCCUCAUUCGACCCUCUCAUUCCUCCACGCACCCACAAUGCAGUUUCGAUUCCGUAUCCAUUGCCGCCACAUCUAUUAAGGAAAACCUUAGUCUCCACGCUAGCAGCAUAUCUUAA